Molecule: microRNA, 21 nt
Filed under: Picea abies (Norway spruce)
Lineage: Eukaryota; Viridiplantae; Streptophyta; Pinopsida; Pinales; Pinaceae
Description: pab-miR11420g
Source: miRBase by way of RNAcentral
UUGGUACCGAACCGGCUGAGU